GGUGAACCUGCGGCAGGAUCAUUAAUGGGCGCUGCCCCCUCUGGCCCUUCCUGCCUGCCUUCCUGCCUGUUUCCCUGCCUCCUUACAGCAGUGGAACCGAAAGCCAGCCCCCUGGCGGACGUUUGCAUGACCCAAAACCGAGGAAAGACUUCAGGGAGACAUGGCCGCGAAAUCCCUGGAACUAUUUUUGGCAUGAAAACGUUGCGUUUUGCCGGUGGUUCUCCAGCCACACUUAGCCGCGAUUC
Molecule: non-coding RNA, 245 nt
Organism: Pelobates cultripes (western spadefoot toad)
Lineage: Eukaryota; Metazoa; Chordata; Amphibia; Anura; Pelobatidae
Source: the annotation of a GenBank genome assembly